This 253-nucleotide ribosomal RNA is filed under the name uncultured bacterium. RNAcentral's name for it is "partial 16S ribosomal RNA". It matches the Rfam family "Bacterial small subunit ribosomal RNA", at positions 524 to 776 of the family's 1533-position model. The record is from RNAcentral.
GACAGAGGAUGCAAGAGUUAUCCGGAAUGAUUGGGCGUAAAGCGUCCGCAGGUGGCCUAUCAAGUCUGCUGUCAAAGACCGGGGCUUAACCCCAGAAAGGCAGUGGAAACUGAAAGGCUAGAGGAUGGUAGGGGCAGAGGGAAUUCCCAGUGUAGCGGUGAAAUGCGUAGAGAUUGGGAAGAACACCGGUGGCGAAAGCGCUCUGCUGGGCCAUAACUGACACUCAGGGGCGAAAGCUAGGGGAGCGAAUGGG